AAUCAACGCUGGCGGCGUGCCUCAGACAUGCAAGUCGAACGAUUAAAGCUCUCUUCGGAGAGUGUAUAGAGUGGCGCACGGGUGAGUAACACGUAAGUAAUCUACCUUUGAGUGGGGAAUAACCCGGGGAAACCCGAGCUAAUACCGCAUAAUGCAGCGGCAUCGCAAGAUGACAGUUGUUAAAGGAGCAAUCCGCUUAAAGAGGAGCUUGCGGCAGAUUAGCUAGUUGGUAAGGUAAUGGCUUACCAAGGCUACGAUCUGUAUCCGGUCUAAGAGGACGGUCGGACACACUGACACUGAAUAACGGGUCAGACUCCUACGGGAGGCAGCAGUCGGGAAUUUUGGGCAAUGGGCGAAAGCCUGACCCAGCAACGCCGCGUGAAGGAUGAAGUAUUUCGGUAUGUAAACUUCGAAAGAAUAGGAAGAAUAAA
Molecule: ribosomal RNA, 431 nt
Filed under: uncultured bacterium
Lineage: Bacteria
Description: bacterial SSU rRNA
Rfam family: Bacterial small subunit ribosomal RNA
Source: RNAcentral